RNAcentral lists this long non-coding RNA (2318 nucleotides) under Salmo salar (Atlantic salmon). Its description in RNAcentral is "lncRNA (ENSSSAG00000121137.1)". The record is from RNAcentral. Lineage: Eukaryota; Metazoa; Chordata; Actinopteri; Salmoniformes; Salmonidae.
AGAGAGCAAAUUAGAAUCCAAGGAAGUUGACAUGUCAUCACUUCAUUUUUUUGCGCCUGCGCAUAAAUCUGAGAAACGUGAGUUUUGUCUUCAUUGUUUAUCUCGACAUAGGAUAGGUUAUGUGAAAAUAUUACUGAUGUUUAACGUUAAAAAUGGACCAAAAGAUUAAUGCUAAACAACAUUUGACAUGUUUGAACGAACAUAAAUAGAUUAUUUACUAGGUUUUUUUAGCUUUUCGGCGUGAUUUUACAGUCCCCCACCACGUUUUGUGGGAGCAUAAUGAACGCUAAGUACUUGGUGUUAUUUGGACAUAAAUUAUGAACUUUGUCAAAAGAAACCACAUUUGUUCCGGACCUGUGAUGCCUUCCGGACCUGGGAUGCCAGGCUUCUGAUGGAGAUAAUCAAAGCCUUGUUAGCAAUCCCGGCUCGGGGUUCAUUGCUAACCUGUAGCCCCAACAGGUUUUAACAGCCGAGAAACCCACUCUGACUUCACCCCAUCUGCCUAAAUAGAUAGAGUUUGCUGCUUUCUUGUCUUGUAUCGUCUCGGCGUCCAUACACUGAGUGUGUAGGUGGAAACUUCAAUGGGUGCAAUGUCCAGGAGGAACAAGAGAACAAGGAUUUACAAGAGAAUGAGGUACCUGAAGAAGAAGACGGGGAAGAAUACAACCCAGAGCACGAUGCAUCAUCUUCAGAUGAUGAAGAAAUCCCCCAAGCUGAAAGAGAGACAUUUUUGUCAAAGAACAGCAAAAUAACAUGGUCCUUGUCCCCAUAUGACAACCAGGGCAGGAUGGCAGCACAAAAUGUCAUAAGGAUGACCCCAGGGCCCAGAAGACAUGCACUUGCAGAUGCCCAGGACAUCGCCUCAACAUUCUACAUGUUCAUCACACCAGCCAUCGAAAAAAGCAUCCUGGUGAUGACAAAUUUGUAGGGUUUCCGGAAAUAUGGAGACAACUCGAAAAGGAUGGAUGAGAUUAACCUGCAUGCCUACAUAGGGCUGCUAAUCUUAGCGGGUGAGUAUAAGUCCCGAGGUGAGGCUACAUGUAGUCUAUGGGAUGCAGACUGCCACUGAAAGUCUUUCACACUUUCUGAAGAAUACUACGAUUUGAUAACCGUGAGUCAAGACCUGCAAAAAGUGAGAGAGACAAACUGGCGGCCAUAAGAGAGCUCUGGAAGAAGUGGGUGGAGCGUCUGCCAUACCUCUACAACCCUGGCACUGAAGUAACAGUGGAUGAGCAACUGGUUCCAAUCAGAGGUCGCUGUCCUUUCCGGCAGUAUAAGCCCAGCAAGCCAGCAAAGUUUGGCAUCCAGAUAUGGGUGGCUUGUGACGCACAAUCCAGCUAUGCUUGGAAGAUGGAAGUCUACACAGGGAAGCCGACCAGUGGAGGCCCAGAGAAGAACCAGGGCAUGCGGGUUGUGCUUGAUGUGACAGAUGGACUGAGGGGGCACAAUGUCUCGUGUGACAAUUUCUUCACCUCUUAUGAACUCAGCCAGCAGCUCAAGAAGAGGAAGAUCACCCUGGUUGGCAAACUUAGAAAGAACAAGCCUGAGCUCCCCCCUGCACUCCUUGCAACAAGGGGGAAAGAGGCCUUCUCAUCAAAGUUUGCGUUUACCCCCAUCACCACUCUAUUUUUUUACCUCCCAAAGAAGAACAAGAAUGUGGUCCUCCUGAGCACACUGCACAAAAUGGCUGAGAUCAAUGAUCAUGAGGACAGGAAGCCAGCCAUCAUCCUGGACUACAUCCACAACAAAGGAGGCAUUGACAACCUGGACAAGGUGAUUGGUACUUACAGCUGCAGGAGGAUGACUGCCCGCUGGCCCCUGGUCAUCUUCCAUAACAUCAUUGAUGUGUCGUCAUACAAUGACUUCAUGAUAUGGAACAAGAUCAAACCUACCUGGAUGCCUGAUAAGCGGAACAAGAGGAGGGUGUUCCUGGAGCAGCUGGGAAAGGCACUUAUAACCCUACACAUUCUAUGAAGGGAGCGCCUCCCCCACACAGAAGCCUGUGCAGUGCUUGUGGAAGCUGUUCAGGGGGAUGAAACUUGUCCUGAUCCACCUGAGGCUGCAGCUCGGGCAGGAAAGAUGAGGAGAUGCCAAUUCUGCCCCCCAAAGAAGGACUGUAAAACAAAUACUAUGUGCUGCACAUGUGAGAAAUAAAUCUGCAAAGUCCAUGCACACACACUUGCAUACUGUCUUACAUGUGCUAAUUAGAGUUGAAUGAUUUAUGUUCUUCAAGUUUUUGUUUUUGUAUCUAUCUAAUUUACUCUUGUUUAUUGUUGUUGUUUAUACACCUUGUGGGUGGGGCAAUGGUUAAAAAAAUG